Molecule: long non-coding RNA, 606 nt
Organism: Culex quinquefasciatus (southern house mosquito)
Lineage: Eukaryota; Metazoa; Arthropoda; Insecta; Diptera; Culicidae
Exons: 2
Source: RefSeq, a predicted model, not a curated record
UGUGACGACACGGUUCAGGACGAACAUACCCCUCGGAAUGGGAGAGUAUAUGGCGUAUGUACCUAUUUCGAGGGUUUUUGGAACGGCGGUGUCCUUAAAAAGUGUUGGAGCAACACCAGAGUCGAAAGUGAGUGGUGGGAGGACAUCUUGGCCGUUUUUUGCAGCGAAAAGCAAAAAAAAAGUACAAGGGAAGCUUUCACUAGUGAAUUGCUGCGGGUUGAGCAGGGAGUGGGUGCUAAAAGGAUGUUUAAAAAUGUGGUUUUAAGGUAUAACAGUUACUGAUAACGCUCCGGACAAAUGUGUUCCUAUUGUGCAUGUAACGUGUGUCCGAAGAAUUCAUUCCGUUGAAUGCUUUCACCACCAGCCCAGAUGAUAAGCCCUUAUCAGUGCAUUACGUGAAAUUUGUUUGAACUACAUUUUUCUUAUCGGGUUCAAACGGUAAGGUGAAGCAUGCGGACGCAAAGUGUUCGAGAUAGGUGCGAUGAGAAGCUGACUGUAACACAUGGGUUCGAUUUCGAUGUGAAAUACUGUCUAUGAGCAGAGUGAUGUCAAAAUAAAACAUUAUUAGAUUAAAGGUUUAUUAAAGUUAAAUGUGUGACAUAUAAA